AGUCGAGGGGUAUAGUAGCAAUACUUAGAGACCGGCGCACGGGUGAGUAACGCGUAUGCAACCUGCCCUUUACUGGAGGAUAGCCCGUAGAAAUGCGGAUUAAUACCCCAUAGUAAUAUAGGAUCGCAUGAUUUUAUAUUUAAAGUUUCGGCGGUAAAGGAUGGGCAUGCGUGACAUUAGCUAGUUGGAGAGGUAACGGCUCACCAAGGCUUCGAUGUCUAGGGGUUCUGAGAGGAAGAUCCCCCACACUGGUACUGAGACACGGACCAGACUCCUACGGGAGGCAGCAGUGAGGAAUAUUGGUCAAUGGGCGAGAGCCUGAACCAGCCAUCCCGCGUGCAGGAAGAAUGCCCUAUGGGUUGUAAACUGCUUUUUCGCAUGAAGAACACCCCUGACGUGUCAGGGGCUGACGGUAAUGCGUGAAUAAGCACCGGCUAACUCCGUGCCAGCAGCCGCGGUAAUACGGAGGGUGCAAGCGUUAUCCGGAUUUAUUGGGUUUAAAGGGUGCGUAGGCGGCUAUUUAAGUCAGUGGUGAAAUCCUGCAGCUUAACUGUAGAACAGCCAUUGAAACUGAAUAGCUUGAGUGAUCUUGAGGUAGGCGGAAUGUGUAGUGUAGCGGUGAAAUGCUUAGAUAUUACACAGAACACCGAUUGCGAAGGCAGCUUACUAAGGAUUUACUGACGCUGAUGCACGAAAGCGUGGGGAUCAAACAGGAUUAGAUACCCUGGUAGUCCACGCCGUANACGAUGAUAACUCGCUGUUGNCGAUACACAGUCAGCGGCUU
This 784-nucleotide ribosomal RNA is filed under the name uncultured bacterium. Its description in RNAcentral is "bacterial SSU rRNA". It matches the Rfam family "Bacterial small subunit ribosomal RNA", at positions 60 to 849 of the family's 1533-position model. The record is from RNAcentral.